RNAcentral lists this ribosomal RNA (253 nucleotides) under uncultured bacterium. Its description in RNAcentral is "partial 16S ribosomal RNA". It matches the Rfam family "Bacterial small subunit ribosomal RNA", at positions 524 to 776 of the family's 1533-position model. The record is from RNAcentral.
UACAGAGACUGCAAGCGUUAUUCGGAUUCACUGGGCGUAAAGCGCGCGUAGGCGGCUUUGUAAGUUAGAGGUGAAAGCCCGGGGCUCAACCCCGGAACUGCCCUUAAGACUGCAUCGCUUGAAUCCGGGAGAGGUGAGUGGAAUUCCGAGUGUAGAGGUGAAAUUCGUAGAUAUUCGGAAGAACACCAGUGGCGAAGGCGGCUCACUGGACCGGUAUUGACGCUGAUGUGCGAAAGCGUGGGGAGCAAACAGG